GAUGAACGCUGGCGGCGUGCCUAAUACAUGCAAGUCGAGCGAACGGACGAGAAGCUUGCUUCUCUGAUGUUAGCGGCGGACGGGUGAGUAACACGUGGAUAACCUACCUAUAAGACUGGGAUAGCUUCGGGAAACCGGAGCUAAUACCGGAUAAUAUUUUGAACCGCAUGGUUCAAAAGUGAAAGACGGUCUUGCUGUCACUUAUAGAUGGAUCCGCGCUGCAUUAGCUAGUUGGUAAGGUAACGGCUUACCAAGGCAACGAUGCAUAGCCGACCUGAGAGGGUGAUCGGCCACACUGGAACUGAGACACGGUCCAGACUCCUACGGGAGGCAGCAGUAGGGAAUCUUCCGCAAUGGGCGAAAGCCUGACGGAGCAACGCCGCGUGAGUGAUGAAGGUCUUCGGAUCGUAAAACUCUGUUAUUAGGGAAGAACAUAUGUGUAAGUAACUGUGCACAUCUUGACGGUACCUAAUCAGAAAGCCACGGCUAACUACGUGCCAGCAGCCGCGGUAAUACGUAGGUGGCAAGCGUUAUCCGGAAUUAUUGGGCGUAAAGCGCGCGUAGGCGGUUUUUUAGUCUGAUGUGAAAGCCCACGGCUCAACCGUGGAGGGUCAUUGGAAACUGGAAAACUUGAGUGCAGAAGAGGAAAGUGGAAUUCCAUGUGUAGCGGUGAAAUGCGCAGAGAUAUGGAGGAACACCAGUGGCGAAGGCGACUUUCUGGUCUGUAACUGACGCUGAUGUGCGAAAGCGUGGGGAUCAAACAGGAUUAGAUACCCUGGUAGUCCACGCCGUAAACGAUGAGUGCUAAGUGUUAGGGGGUUUCCGCCCCUUAGUGCUGCAGCUAACGCAUUAAGCACUCCGCCUGGGGAGUACGACCGCAAGGUUGAAACUCAAAGGAAUUGACGGGGACCCGCACAAGCGGUGGAGCAUGUGGUUUAAUUCGAAGCAACGCGAAGAACCUUACCAAAUCUUGACAUCCUUUGACAACUCUAGAGAUAGAGCUUUCCCCUUCGGGGGACAAAGUGACAGGUGGUGCAUGGUUGUCGUCAGCUCGUGUCGUGAGAUGUUGGGUUAAGUCCCGCAACGAGCGCAACCCUUAAGCUUAGUUGCCAUCAUUAAGUUGGGCACUCUAAGUUGACUGCCGGUGACAAACCGGAGGAAGGUGGGGAUGACGUCAAAUCAUCAUGCCCCUUAUGACUUGGGCUACACACGUGCUACAAUGGACAAUACAAAGGGCAGCGAAACCGCGAGGUCAAGCAAAUCCCAUAAAGUUGUUCUCAGUUCGGAUUGUAGUCUGCAACUCGACUACAUGAAGCUGGAAUCGCUAGUAAUCGUAGAUCAGCAUGCUACGGUGAAUACGUUCCCGGGUCU
This 1371-nucleotide ribosomal RNA is filed under the name uncultured bacterium. RNAcentral's name for it is "bacterial SSU rRNA". It matches the Rfam family "Bacterial small subunit ribosomal RNA", at positions 28 to 1381 of the family's 1533-position model. The record is from RNAcentral.